Long non-coding RNA from Pistacia vera, 2020 nucleotides. RefSeq lists it as uncharacterized. The transcript has 2 exons. Lineage: Eukaryota; Viridiplantae; Streptophyta; Magnoliopsida; Sapindales; Anacardiaceae. The record is from RefSeq and is a predicted model, not a curated record.
GUGUCUCUUCAACCACUGAAUCAUUCUCUCACUUAGCCAAGGACUCACCUUUAGUGCAUUACAGUGACUUAAAUGAACAAUCAAAAGUAGAAAAAGCUGCCAGGCGGUGGGAAAGGUUAGAACUUAUAGCAUUAUAAAUUUCUUUAAAUAGACUCUAAAGCGAACCUUUUGAAAUUUUAUGGCUAAAGAAUGAAGAUUACAUUCUUAUAAGUCUAUUAGUGUUCAAACGAAAAAUUAUUUGACUCAGUUGUGCUUGGUACAAGCCCUAAUAAUUUGCGUCAGCACUCAAAUUGCUGUCUGAUACCUGAUAUCUAGUUAUGUCAUGUAUCACUGUCUGAAGGAUAUAUGUUAAUUGGUUUUCUAUAUUUAUUUUUGUAUUGAUGAACGAGGCAUUUUUGUGUGUUAUUGCAACUGAAAGCCCAUAUGCAAUCAAUUGCUCAAAUUUGAAGUAAAAUACAACUGAUAUUAACUAAAAGAGCAUGCUUUGCAGAGCAUGUUUUUAAGUUAGAUUUUAUCAGUUCAUCAUUUUUGUUAUGGUGCAUUUCAAUGGGCUUUGUAUAUCGAGUUCAUUAUAUGAUUAUUACUGUAAAUUGACCUUGAACUCUAUCGCUGUAGUUGCAGACGUUUUACUGGUUCUGUUGUUUUAUUGGUUUUUCCUUUCUGGAAGAAUUUUUACCUCUUCUGCAGCCAACCUUCUAUUGUUGGUCUCAAUUACUCUUUUUGGAUAUGGCUUUUUACCAUCAAACAUGUAAGUACAAAUCUUUUUCUUUUCCCUGGUUUUAUCAGUCUUCCAACAGUCAGCCAUUUUUUCACUCUUGUUGAAAGCUCGUUAUUUACUUUCUAAAAUUCUUUGAAGCAGUGCAUCUGGGAUGCUCUACUUCUUCUUUUCUUGAUUUGUUCAGGAAUUUCUUAGUUUAUGGUCCGGAAUCUGGAGUGCUGUAGCAUUAAAAUUUAUGUUUAUAUGAUUUUUAUUGGAGAUGCAAGCUUUUGCCGUCACUAUCCUCUUGCUUUUAUCAAUUUAUGUUGUUAUAUCAUCAAGUUGAUUGUUUGAAAGAUUUUUCAGGUCUACUGACCAUUUGAUAUGCUUUCUCUACAGAUUUGGUCUCAAAGUUCCAAGCAUACCUUUGUCUAGUUUUGAUAUGAUUCCUCUGGAUCAUAAUAAAUACAAUUACUAGUUAAUUAUAAGUUAUUUUCUCCCUUGUUAUUCUUACAAUUGUUGUAAUAAAUAUCUGUUAUUUGAUGGGUGUAGAUCCAACAUCAACAUUAUGUUGUUGUGCUUUAUCUCCUUUGCUCUAUGCUCGAUAUUUACUUUGUCAAAUUUUGGGUUUACACUGUUUUGAAAUCGAUUCAGGUUGUACUUGCAUUUUAUCUUCUCAAGCUGAUUCUUUUGCAAUCAUCCUUAACUGCCGUGAUAGCCGUAGCUCUAGUCUUCUCCUUGAUUGCACUCUUUGUUUACGAGCAAUACGAAUGUGAACUGGAUGGACUAGUGAAGCUCCUUCUUAAUUGUAAAAAGAAAUCGAAAACAUUGUUGAUACACUAUCUACCAGCUCCCGUCGCAUCAUUUCUUUGUAACUACAGGAUUAAGGAUAUUGCAUGAACUCAACACUCAUACAGUGGUUAAAGAUUGGCAAUGACUCCAUGACUCAUAUUUUUCUUGAAUGAGUUUUAAACUGCUUAUACAUGAUCUGGUAGCUUAAUGAGGCUUUGUCUUAAAACAGUAGAGAUGAUUUUGUCCCCUGAAAAAGAAUAUAGAUGGGGUAUAUAUUCAUAUAGUGCAAAUUCUAAUUGUCAAUGAUGUUCAAUCUUUUAAUUGAACAUUAGAUGUCCAGUGUCUUUAAUUGUCUCGAUUACUUGAAAGUCGAAACAUUGAAUCUCAUCUCAUCAGCUUAGCCAAAAGUCUGAAGCAGAACAAAGAUUGAAGGUAUCUUUUCAUUGACCAUUAUAUAUAUUUGUACUGAAUUUGUUAUUGUAAGUUAUUUAGAAGAUGAUCAAGGAUAUGUGAACUCCAAGUAUUCCAACA